This is a non-coding RNA of Paramuricea clavata, 73 nucleotides long. The record is from the annotation of a GenBank genome assembly. Lineage: Eukaryota; Metazoa; Cnidaria; Anthozoa; Malacalcyonacea; Plexauridae.
GACCGCAUAGCUCAGUUGGAAGAGCAUUGGGCUAGUAUUCCAAAGGUCGUAGGUUCGAAUCCCACCGUGUCCG